CGCACGGGUGAGUAAUGCAUAGGUAACGUGCCCCUUAGUCUGGGAUAGCCACUGGAAACGGUGAAUAAUACCGGAUACUCCUUCUCACUUAAUGUGAGUCGGGAAAGUUUUUCGCUAAGGGAUCGGCCUAUGUCCUAUCAGGUAGUUGGUGAGGUAAGAGCUCACCAAGCCUAUGACGGGUAGCGGGUCUGAGAGGAUGAUCCGCCACACUGGUACUGAGACACGGACCAG
RNAcentral lists this ribosomal RNA (231 nucleotides) under uncultured bacterium. RNAcentral's name for it is "partial 16S ribosomal RNA". It matches the Rfam family "Bacterial small subunit ribosomal RNA", at positions 99 to 334 of the family's 1533-position model. The record is from RNAcentral.